GACGAACGCUGGCGGCGUGCUUAACACAUGCAAGUCGAACGAAGAGCGAUGGAAGCUUGCUUCUAUCAAUCUUAGUGGCGAACGGGUGAGUAACGCGUAAUCAACCUGCCCUUCAGAGGGGGACAACAGUUGGAAACGACUGCUAAUACCGCAUACGAUCUAAUCUCGGCAUCGAGGAUAGAUGAAAGGUGGCCUCUACAUGUAAGCUAUCACUGAAGGAGGGGAUUGCGUCUGAUUAGCUAGUUGGAGGGGUAACGGCCCACCAAGGCGAUGAUCAGUAGCCGGUCUGAGAGGAUGAACGGCCACAUUGGGACUGAGACACGGCCCAGACUCCUACGGGAGGCAGCAGUGGGGAAUCUUCCGCAAUGGACGAAAGUCUGACGGAGCAACGCCGCGUGAGUGAUGACGGCCUUCGGGUUGUAAAGCUCGGUUAAUCGGGACGAAAGGCCUUCUUGCGAAUAGUGAGAAGGAUUGACGGUACCGGAAGAGAAAGCCACGGCUAACUACGUG
Molecule: ribosomal RNA, 510 nt
Filed under: uncultured bacterium
Lineage: Bacteria
Description: partial 16S ribosomal RNA
Rfam family: Bacterial small subunit ribosomal RNA
Source: RNAcentral